AGCAGCCGCGGUAAUUCCAGCUCCAAUAGCGUAUAUUAAAGUUGUUGCGGUUAAAAAGCUCGUAGUUGAAUUUCGGGGUUAGUAGGUUGGUCAUGCCUCUGGUAUGUACUGGUCUCACUGAUUCCUCCUUCCUGAUGAGCCGUAAUGCCAUUAAUUUGGUGUUGCGGGGAAUUUGGACUGUUACUUUGAGAAAAUUAGAGUGUUUAAAGCAAGCUAACGCUUGAAUACAUUAGCAUGGAAUAAUGAAAUAGGACGUUCGAUCCUAUUUUGUUGGUUUCUAGGAUUGACGUAAUGAUUAAUAGGGAUAGUUGGGGGCAUUAGUAUUCAAUUGUCAGAGGUGAAAUUCUUGGGUUUAUUGAAGACUAACUACUGCGAAAGCAUUUGCCAAGGAUGUUUUCAUUAAUCAAGAACGAAAGUUAGGGGAUCGAAGACGAUCAGAUACCGUCGUAGUCUUAACCAUAAACUAUGCCGACUAGGGAUCGGAUGAUGUUAAUUUUUUAAUGACUCAUUCGGCGCCUUACG
RNAcentral lists this ribosomal RNA (522 nucleotides) under uncultured Glomeromycotina. RNAcentral's name for it is "SSU rRNA". It matches the Rfam family "Eukaryotic small subunit ribosomal RNA", at positions 569 to 1092 of the family's 1831-position model. The record is from RNAcentral. Lineage: Eukaryota; Fungi; Glomeromycota.